This 253-nucleotide ribosomal RNA is filed under the name uncultured bacterium. RNAcentral's name for it is "partial 16S ribosomal RNA". It matches the Rfam family "Bacterial small subunit ribosomal RNA", at positions 524 to 776 of the family's 1533-position model. The record is from RNAcentral.
UACGAAGGGAACUAGCGUUGUCCGGAAUUACUGGGCGUAAAGAGCGCGUAGGCGGUUUAUUAAGUUGGGAGUGAAAUCCCGGGGCUCAACCCCGGAACUGCUUUCAAAACUGAUAGACUAGAGUGUGAUAGGGGGUGAUGGAAUUCCUAGUGUAGAGGUGAAAUUCUUAGAUAUUAGGAGGAACAUCGGUGGCGAAGGCGAUCGCCUGGAUCACAACUGACGCUGAGGCGCGAAAGCGUGGGGAGCAAACAGG